RNAcentral lists this ribosomal RNA (303 nucleotides) under uncultured bacterium. RNAcentral describes it as "partial 16S ribosomal RNA". It matches the Rfam family "Bacterial small subunit ribosomal RNA", at positions 507 to 807 of the family's 1533-position model. The record is from RNAcentral.
AGCAGUCGCCGCGGUAAUACGUAGGGUGCAAGCGUUAAUCGGAAUUACUGGGCGUAAAGCGUGCGCAGGCGGUUGUGUAAGACAGGGGUGAAAUCCCCGGGCUUAACCUGGGAACUGCGCUUGUGACUGCACAGCUAGAGUAUGGCAGAGGGGGGUGGAAUUCCACGUGUAGCAGUGAAAUGCGUAGAGAUGUGGAGGAACACCGAUGGCGAAGGCAGCCCCCUGGGCCAAUACUGACGCUCAUGCACGAAAGCGUGGGGAGCAAACAGGAUUAGAUACCCCCGUAGUCCCUGUCUCUUAUAC